AUACGGAGGAUGCAAGCGUUAUCCGGAUUUAUUGGGUUUAAAGGGUGCGUAGGCGGUUUGCUAAGCGGGAGGUGAAAUGCCGGCGCUCAACGUCGGAAGUGCCUCCCGAACUGGUGGACUUGAAUGACUCUGCCGUGGGAGGAAUGUGUAGUGUAGCGGUGAAAUGCUUAGAGGUUACACAGAACACCGAUUGCGAAGGCAUCUGACGAAUGGUUGAUGGACAGUGAGGCACGAAAGCGUGGGGAUCAAGCAGGAUUAGAUACCCUGGUAGUCCACGCAGUAAACGAUGAUGGCUAACAGCUGGGCUUAUCAGUUCAGUGGCCAAGCGAAAGCGAUAAGCCCUCCGCCUGGGGAGUACGGCCGCAAGGUUGAAACUCAAAUGAAUUGACGGGG
RNAcentral lists this ribosomal RNA (393 nucleotides) under uncultured bacterium. RNAcentral describes it as "partial 16S ribosomal RNA". It matches the Rfam family "Bacterial small subunit ribosomal RNA", at positions 523 to 918 of the family's 1533-position model. The record is from RNAcentral.